RNAcentral lists this ribosomal RNA (344 nucleotides) under uncultured fungus. Its description in RNAcentral is "SSU rRNA". It matches the Rfam family "Eukaryotic small subunit ribosomal RNA", at positions 292 to 636 of the family's 1831-position model. The record is from RNAcentral. Lineage: Eukaryota; Fungi.
GGUUCAUUCAAAUUUCUGCCCUAUCAACUUUCGAUUGUUGUGUAUUGGACAACAAUGGUGACAACGGGUAACGGAGGGUUAGGGCUCGACCCCGGAGAAGGAGCCUGAGAAACGGCUACUACAUCCAAGGAAGGCAGCAGGCGCGCAAAUUACCCAAUCCCAACCGGGGAGGUAGUGACAAUAAAUACUGAUACAGGGCUCUUUUGGGUCUUGUAAUUGGAAUGAGUACAAUUUAAAUCCCUUAACGAGGAACAAUUGGAGGGCAAGUCUGGUGCCAGCAGCCGCGGUAAUUCCAGCUCCAAUAGCGUAUAUUAAAGUUGUUGUGGUUAAAAAGCUCGUAGUUG